GAUGAACGCUGGCGGCGUGCCUAAUACAUGCAAGUCGAGCGAACAGACGAGGAGCUUGCUCCUCUGACGUUAGCGGCGGACGGGUGAGUAACACGUGGAUAACCUACCUAUAAGACUGUGAUAACUUCGGGAAACCGGAGCUAAUACCGGAUAAUAUAUUGAACCGCAUGGUUCAAUAGUGAAAGACGGUUUUGCUGUCACUUAUAGAUGGAUCCGCGCCGCAUUAGCUAGUUGGUAAGGUAACGGCUUACCAAGGCAACGAUGCGUAGCCGACCUGAGAGGGUGAUCGGCCACACUGGAACUGAGACACGGUCCAGACGCCUACGGGAGGCAGCAGUAGGGAAUCUUCCGCAAUGGGCGAAAGCCUGACGGAGCAACGCCGCGUGAGUGAUGAAGGUCUUCGGAUCGUAAAACUCUGUUAUUAGGGAAGAACAAAUGUGUAAGUAACUAUGCACGUCUUGACGGUACCUAAUCAGAAAGCCACGGCUAACUACGUG
RNAcentral lists this ribosomal RNA (497 nucleotides) under uncultured bacterium. Its description in RNAcentral is "partial 16S ribosomal RNA". It matches the Rfam family "Bacterial small subunit ribosomal RNA", at positions 28 to 507 of the family's 1533-position model. The record is from RNAcentral.